Molecule: non-coding RNA, 73 nt
Organism: Caenorhabditis brenneri
Lineage: Eukaryota; Metazoa; Nematoda; Chromadorea; Rhabditida; Rhabditidae
Source: the annotation of a GenBank genome assembly
UCGCUUAGCGCAGUGGUUACGCUUUUGCCUAUCACAAGUCAAAAGGGUCGUGGGUUCGACUCCCACUAGUGAA